Molecule: ribosomal RNA, 215 nt
Filed under: Azomonas macrocytogenes
Lineage: Bacteria; Pseudomonadati; Pseudomonadota; Gammaproteobacteria; Pseudomonadales; Pseudomonadaceae
Description: partial 16S ribosomal RNA
Rfam family: Bacterial small subunit ribosomal RNA
Source: RNAcentral
GGUCUUCGGAUUGUAAAGCACUUUAAGUUGGGAGGAAGGGCUGCCGGUUAAUACCCUGCAGUUUUGACGUUACCGACAGAAUAAGCACCGGCUAACUCUGUGCCAGCAGCCGCGGUAAUACAGAGGGUGCGAGCGUUAAUCGGAAUUACUGGGCGUAAAGCGCGCGUAGGCGGUUUGGCAAGUUGGAUGUGAAAGCCCCGGGCUCAACCUGGGAA